AGUGAACGCUGGCGGUAGGCCUAACACAUGCAAGUCGAACGGCAGCACAGUAAGAGCUUGCUCUUACGGGUGGCGAGUGGCGGACGGGUGAGGAAUACAUCGGAAUCUACUUUUUCGUGGGGGAUAACGUAGGGAAACUUACGCUAAUACCGCAUACGACCUACGGGUGAAAGCAGGAGAUCUUCGGACCUUGCGCGAUUGAAUGAGCCGAUGUCGGAUUAGCUAGUUGGCGGGGUAAAGGCCCACCAAGGCGACGAUCCGUAGCUGGUCUGAGAGGAUGAUCAGCCACACUGGAACUGAGACACGGUCCAGACUCCUACGGGAGGCAGCAGUAGGGAAUAUUGGGCAAUGGGCGCAAGCCUGAUCCAGCCAUACCGCGUGAGUGAAGAAGGUCUUCGGGUUGUAAAGCUCUUUUGUUGGGAAAGAAAAACAGCGGGUUAAUACCCCGCUGUUCUGACGGUACCCAAAGAAUAAGCACCGGCUAACUUCGUG
This 492-nucleotide ribosomal RNA is filed under the name uncultured bacterium. RNAcentral describes it as "partial 16S ribosomal RNA". It matches the Rfam family "Bacterial small subunit ribosomal RNA", at positions 29 to 507 of the family's 1533-position model. The record is from RNAcentral.